CGGCCUCCCAAAGUGCUGGGGUUACAGGUGUGAGCCACUGCACCCAGACAGGACCUUUUAUUCAUGUAAAAUAUUAAGCAGAAUCCUAGACUAGGAGACAGAGAAAGGCAGAGCUAUUUAGAUGGAGACUAGGAUAAGGUGGCAUAUGGAAACCAGUCUGAGGGGCCUCCCUCCCCCUCCUCUGCAGCAGGGCCUGAGGAAUCUGAAGGAAACAGUUUGCAAAAGCCACUGCUUUGGGCCACACCUGUGAGGAGCAGUAGAGCCCGCUGGGUCUCCUGACCAACCAGCACGAUCUGCUUGAAGGUCAUGGAGUGGUGGAAUGUCAUCUUGAAGACCCGCUGCCCGCUAGACUGCAGAUAGACCUCAACACAGUCGCAGGCCCGGCUGCUAGUGGUACCCACCACUUCCUGCUGCUCCCGAGUGGCCAAGACGUACAGGGCCGGACUCCAGAACCCUGAUCUCGGAGGCGCGGACUGAGUCUGCGACAGAUGCGUCUCCACACGCCUUCCGCAUCGCACACUUCGUGGAAGUAGCGGCAGGUCUGGCCGAGGGCGACAAGGUCUCUGACUGGGAGGAAUGAGAUGAUAUGCUCCACCUGGGAGGGAGAAGGGAAGAGGCGGGGGGGUCAUCGGUGGCUCCUUGGUGGUCUGGCCCCCAAUCCUAUUAUUCUCAACCCCCCUCCCCAAGGACUCACCAGCUCUGGGGGGAACAACUGGAUAGAAAUUGGAUUCCCUUUCCCCUUCUUCUCUUCAACCCCAAGCUCCGGGCCACAAGAAGGGCAGCUUCUCUUCACCUACCCGAGAAGGGGUGCAUAGGGUCCCAUGAGGGUCCCACAUCCUUUUUUCCCUUCUCUCUGCCUAUCUUGGGGCUCAUCUGACUCCAGCCGGGUACAGUCAUGUCCUCCCCUCUCUCUCCAGACCCAUCCCUAACUUCUCCAAAUAACUCCUCCCAAUCUCCUGCGGCCAAUCCCCCUCACCCGGAGCCCCUCCUCCCGUCCACACAGCCUGGUGAAUUUUUGCAGCUUCCGUCUCUGGCUUCUCCUCACCAUCCUGAUUGCCCCCUCCCUGCUUCUGCCCUCCUGUCUCCUAGGCCCUUGGCCCCCCGUUCCUGCUGGCUUUCCCACACCAUGUCCCCUGCCUAGGCUUGGGGGACCUCUGGGGCCCCUCUGCCUCCUAGACCCCUCCCCCAUGGAGUCUGGGACUAACAAACCUCUCUGUGACCUCACUGUUUGGCCACUGUGACCUGUUCCCUUUAAUCUUGUCCAGGACCCAUCUCUCAGACAGCUCCUGGGUUCUAGCUCAGUUCUAGCCAUCACAUGGCUCAAGGGAUAUGCAUUUUACUGGAGAAAUAAAGUGUGAAUUAGUGG
This is a long non-coding RNA of Macaca mulatta (Rhesus monkey), 1366 nucleotides long. RefSeq lists it as uncharacterized. NCBI's taxonomy places the organism in Eukaryota, Metazoa, Chordata, Mammalia, Primates, Cercopithecidae. The record is from RefSeq and is a predicted model, not a curated record.